Molecule: ribosomal RNA, 468 nt
Filed under: uncultured bacterium
Lineage: Bacteria
Description: partial 16S ribosomal RNA
Rfam family: Bacterial small subunit ribosomal RNA
Source: RNAcentral
GACGAACGCUGGCGGCGUGCUUAACACAUGCAAGUCGAACGGAAAGGCCCUGCUUUUGUGGGGUGCUCGAGUGCCGAACGGGUGAGUAACACGUGAGUAACCUGCCCUUGUCAGUCGGAUAACUUCAGGAAACAGGGGCUAAUAUCGCAGAGGAGCUCCUGCUGCCUGGGGUGGGUUGGAAAGUUUCGGCGGUUGGGUAUCGACUCGCAGCUUAUCAGCCUGAUGGUGGAGUAGUGGCGUACGAAGGUUUUGACGGAUAGCCGGCCUGAGAGGGUGACCGGCCUCAUUGCGACUGAGGUACGCACCAGAAGGCUACGGGACGCAGUAGUGGGGAACGUUACACAGUAGGGGGGAGCCUGAUGCGGAAACCCCGCGUGCGGAAAACUGGGCUUCGGGUUGUAAACCACUUUCGCCUGUAACAAAGACUGCGUGACGGUAAUGGGUAAAAAAGCAACGGCUAACUACGUG